GACGCGGCGUACGGGUGCGGAACACGUGUGCACUGCUUUAUCUGGGGGAUAGCCUUUCGAAAGGAAGAUUAAUACCCCAUAAUAUGUUGAAUGGCAUCAUUCGACAUUGAAAACUCCGGUGGAUAGAGAUGGGCACGCGCAAGAUUAGAUAGUUGGUGAGGUAACGGUCACCAAGUCUACGAUCUUUAGGGGGCCUGAGAGGGUGAUCCCCCAACUGGUACUGAGACAUCGGACCAGACUCCUACGGGAGGCAGAGUGAGGAAUAUUGGACAAUGGGUGAGAGCCUGAUCCAGCAUCCCGCGUGAAGGACGAUGCCCUAUGGGUUGUAAACUUCUUUUGUAUAGGGAUAAACUAUCUCGUGAGGGUAGCUGAGGGUACUAUACGAAUAAGCACCGGUUAACUCCGUGCCAGUAACCCGCGGUAAUACGGAGGGUGCAAGCGUUAUCCGGAUUAUGGGUUAAAGGGUCCGUAGGCGGAUCUGGUAAAGGUCAGUGGGUGGACAAUCUCCACAAGUUUUAACCUUGGUGCAAAACUUGGGCCNAUUGGAAUACUCGGCAGGGUCCUCGGACAGUGGUCAGGCCGCACAGUAAACUNGGACAU
Molecule: ribosomal RNA, 600 nt
Filed under: uncultured bacterium
Lineage: Bacteria
Description: partial 16S ribosomal RNA
Rfam family: Bacterial small subunit ribosomal RNA
Source: RNAcentral